Molecule: long non-coding RNA, 1615 nt
Filed under: Malus domestica (apple)
Lineage: Eukaryota; Viridiplantae; Streptophyta; Magnoliopsida; Rosales; Rosaceae
Description: long non-coding RNA (MDOM_LNC002410)
Source: RNAcentral
AAGAAUGAGUCCCACACCAAGAUGACUCGAAGAUGCCGAUGCGGAAGUGCCUUGAUGCCGGAAUUGUAUGCCUCGAUUCUAAGUCCUGAAGGGGGCGCAAAACAAACAUGAGUGGACCAAGUUGAUAUAUAUAUAUAAUAAAAAUUUAUCAACGUACUAACCCCCAGGUUUUAUGAAAACACAUAUAUAAUGAUAAACAUAGGUUUUUCGAAACCUAGCAUGAUGUGCAGUAUCUCAAAUCAUAACUCAUAUAUAAUAAUCACUAGUGAAUUGUCCGAUAACCCCCAGGCCCCAUGCCGGCUCCCCGUCUCUGAGCAGACAGUCAGAGGAAAAACACCUUCAGCCCCAAUGCCGGCUCCCGUCUCUGUGCUAAAUAGCCAGAGGAAACACACUCCAGGCCCUAUGCCAACACCAAACCGUCGCCCGGGACGGACUGGAAUCUAUCCUUACGUCCCGUAGCAGAAAGGACCACUAGGUAAGUACGAAACCAUUGAACAUAUAUAUAUUGAAAAACAACUUCAUAGUAUAAAGUCAUCCAUCAUCUAUACUAUAAAGAGGUGUUCGAAACAUGUUCUAAAUAUCAUAUCGUCAUCCAUUGGAUCCAUUGGAUAUUCUAUAAGAACAUGGGUUAUAGGAAAAAUAGUAAUAAUUCAAAGUAGCCUCAGUAAGCAUGUUAUCUCACAAAACGUUUCAUAAAACGUAAUCAUCAAUUCAUGCUUUUUAUGAUGCAUUCUACUAUAAAAAUGCAUUUUAGAAGGGGUCCACUCACAGUACUUAGCCGCCGAAGAGCCACGCAACCUAUCGAAGAAGGAACGCCACAGAUAAUCGCCCCUAAGCACAUAAAUGGUCCAAUUAAUAAAACUAUAUAAUAGAAAUUGAAUUUGGAAAAACGGACGUCAGAAACGGAUUCAGAACGUCGAAUUACCUAAAAAGGGUACCGGACGAAACCCGAAAAGUCAACCCUAAAGUCAACGUUGACCGGGGAUCAACGGUCAAAUUAGGUCAAACGGGUUUUAGACUUGAAAUCCGGAUUAGGGUUUAGGUUAAAUAGGGUUAGGACCUAUUGGGUUUUGAACUAAAUAAAAUAAGGGAAUUGGGUUGGAUGGGUUAGGCCCUAAUAGAUUUUAGGAACCUAGGGUUUUUGGGUUAAAAGGGUUUAGGAUGGAAAAAUUGGGGUUUGGGCUUUAGCCCAAACACACACACACAUGCAUGGCAUGCAUGUGCAUGCAUAAACACACACCACACACACUGCACGCACGGCAACACACACAAGGCACAAGGCCUUAAGGCCUCACUAGGGCAGGGCUUUAAGCCCCUUUAAAUCAAAACCGGCCCAAGGCCAUUUAAUAAGGCCCGAGGCCUUUGGGGUUUUAAAACAAAAAGAAUAAAAACAAAAACUGAAAGGGAAAGGGUUUUGGGCUAAAACAAACGGGCUUAAGGCCCAAGGGAAAGGGAAAGGGAAGGCCGGAUGGCCUUGGUUUGUCGAGAGGGAAGGCCGGAAAUUCGGCCGGAAAAUUACCCCACUUUAAACGGCCAUAACUUUGUCACUGCUCAACGAAAUCAAGCGAAACAAAAAUGAAAGUUGUAGCCCUGGAAGAGACGAAGAGAAUGAUAC